AGCACUUUAAGCAGGNAAGAAAAAACUCGGUCUAAUACAUCGAGUCUUGACGGUACCUGAAGAAUAAGCACCGGCUAACUUCUGUCCAGCAGCCGCGGUAAUACAGAGGGUGCUAGCGUUAAUCGGAUUUACUGGGCGUAAAGCGUGUGUAGGUGGUUGUUCAAGUCAGUUGUGAAAUCCCUGGGCUUAACCUGGGAACUGCUUCUGAGACUGAACGACUAGAGUACGGUAGAGGGUGGUGGAAUUUCCGGUGUAGCGGUGAAAUGCGUAGAUAUCGGAAGGAACAUCAAUGGCGAAGGCAGCCACCUGGGCCUGUACUGACACUGAGACACGAAAGCGUGGGGAUCAAACAGGAUUAGAUACCCUGGUAGUCCACGCCGUAAACGAUGAGAACUUGACGUCGGUUUGCUCUGCAAAUCGGUGUCGUAGCUAACGCGAUAAGUUCUCCGCCUGGGGAGUACGGCCGCAAGGUUGAAACUCAAAGGAAUUGACGGGGGCCCGCACAAGCGGUGGAGUAUGUGGUUUAAUUCGAUGCAACGCGAAGAACCUUACCUGGGCUUGACAUGCUAGGAAUCCUGCAGAGAUGUGGGAGUCCCGCA
This 599-nucleotide ribosomal RNA is filed under the name bacterium MF_isolate_17. RNAcentral's name for it is "bacterial SSU rRNA". It matches the Rfam family "Bacterial small subunit ribosomal RNA", at positions 429 to 1021 of the family's 1533-position model. The record is from RNAcentral.